UGAACACCUCCUAAAUAGGACGAAACCCGUCUCUUCUCAGGCAGCGGUCAUGUCCCUACAGAAGGUCAGAUGUCAAACACCUGCCUAGAACCUGGGAGUUUAGCAAAAUUGGCAAUGCACCUGCCGCUGACUUUGGACUGCCACCCCUACCCAAGCAAGCUGCUCCAGAAGAGCCGAUUUGACUCUUAAGGUCCAGGUCCAGUUCCCACCAGCCUUUCUACAGACAUACAGGGGAGUAACCUGCUCUGGUGCCUCCACAGACCAACCUUGAGUGUACUGCCUGCACAGAGUUCUGCGGCCUCAGUUUCCCCACUUAUUAAAAGCAGGAGGAAGAGGCUACCUCCGGACCGGUUUGAGAAUUCCAUGUAUCAAAAGACCACUCCAGCCUGAGAAGGGCCUUCUCUCCUUGAGACCUUGGAGCCUUCUCAGCAGCGACACAGACAAGUAUAACAGGCCUGGGGGCACCCAGAAGCCUCCACAUGGGGGCAAGAUUUAAGAAGGGGCCAGAUACGGGACACAUACCUUUAGUCCUAGCACUCAGGCAAGUCACUUUCCCUUUGUUCAAAGCUAGCCUGAGCUACAUAUUGAGGCCCAAGCCUGCCAGGAAUGCAGAACCAGAUUCCCAUGAGUACCUGGAGAGAGCAACAGCCACUCUUCUUCCAGAGGACCCAGGUUCAAUUCCCAGCACCCACAUGGCUGCUGACAAGCAUCUAUAACUCCAGCUCCAGAGGCCCAGUCGUUCUCUUAGACAUGCACACAGGCAAAACACCAGUAUGUAAUAAUAAAUAAAUGUGAAUGAAUAAAUAAAACUUUAAAGAUUUAAUAAAACAUAAAAAUUGA
Molecule: long non-coding RNA, 840 nt
Filed under: Rattus norvegicus (Norway rat)
Lineage: Eukaryota; Metazoa; Chordata; Mammalia; Rodentia; Muridae
Description: long non-coding RNA NONRATT014558
Source: RNAcentral